RNAcentral lists this small nuclear RNA (98 nucleotides) under Cebus imitator (Panamanian white-faced capuchin). Lineage: Eukaryota; Metazoa; Chordata; Mammalia; Primates; Cebidae. The record is from RNAcentral.
AUUGACACUUCAGCCAAAUAUAUAGUAAAAUUGGAAUGAUACAAAAAAGAUUCCCCUGGCUCCUGCAUAAGGAUAUUUGUGAAGCAUUCCAGAUAUUA